This 847-nucleotide ribosomal RNA is filed under the name uncultured Bacillota bacterium. RNAcentral's name for it is "bacterial SSU rRNA". It matches the Rfam family "Bacterial small subunit ribosomal RNA", at positions 58 to 936 of the family's 1533-position model. Lineage: Bacteria; Bacillati; Bacillota. The record is from RNAcentral.
CAAGUCGAACGAGAAAGCGGGGGCAACCUCGUGAGUAAAGUGGCGUACUGGUGAGUAACACGUGGAUCAUCUACCCCGAAGUGGGGAAUAACGCUGGGAAACCGGCGCUAAUACCGCAUAAUCCCGAGAGGGCAAAGGAGCAAUUCGCUUUGGGAGGAGUCCGCGGCCGAUUAGCUUGUUGGUAGGGUAAUGGCCUACCAAGGCUUUGAUCGGUAGCCGGCCUGAGAGGGCACACGGCCACACUGGCACUGAAACACGGGCCAGACUCCUACGGGAGGCAGCAGUGGGGAAUCUUGCACAAUGGGGGCAACCCUGAUGCAGCGACGCCGCGUGAGCGAUGAAGCCCUUCGGGGUGUAAAGCUCUUUCGGCAGGGACGAUUAUGACGGUACCUGCAGAAGCAGCUGCGGUUAACUACGUGCCAGCAGCCGCGGUAAUACGUAGGCAGCAAGCGUUGUUCGGAGUUACUGGGCGUAAAGGGUGUGUAGGUGGCCCUCUAAGUUCCGUGUGAAAUCUCCCGGCUCAACCGGGAGGGUGCGCGGAAAACUGGAGGGCUAGAGUGCGGGAUGGGAGAGUAGAAUUCCUGGUGUAGCGGUGAAAUGCGUAGAUAUCAGGAGGAAUACCAGUGGUGUAGACGGCUCUCUGGACCGCAACUGACACUGAGACACGAAAGCGUGGGUAGCAAACAGGAUUAGAUACCCUGGUAGUCCACGCCCUAAACGAUGCAUAUUUGGUGUAGGUCAUUCAGUUGAUCUGUGCCGGAGCUAACGCGUUAAAUAUGCCGCCUGGGGAGUACAGUCGCAAGGCUGAAACUCAAAGGAAUUGACGGGGGCCCGCACAAGCGGUGGA